GAUGAACGCUGGCGGCGUGCGUAACACAUGCAAGUUGAACGACGGUGUCAUGAAGUGGUAACACGGAAUGGCAUACGGAGUAGCGGACGGGUGAGUACAACAUGAGAAGCUGUCCUUCAGUGGGGGGCAACGUCUGGAAGCGGACGCUAAUACCCCAUAGGCCGAGAGGUUAAAGCAGAGAUGCGCUGGAGGAGGUGCUCGUGCCCUAUCAGCUAGUUGGUGAGGUAACGGCUCACCAAGGCGACGACGGGUAGCCGGCCUGAGAGGGUGAACGGCCACACUGGAACUGAGAUACGGUCCAGACUCCUACGGGAGGCAGCAGUGGGGAAUAUUGGGCAAUGGGAGGAAUCCUGACCCAGCGACGCCGCGUGAACGAUGAAGGCCUUAGGGUUGUAAAGUUCUUUUAUGUGGGAAGAAGGAAGUGACGGUACCACAUGAAUAAGCCCCGCUAACUAAC
Molecule: ribosomal RNA, 457 nt
Filed under: Synergistetes bacterium oral taxon 363
Lineage: Bacteria; Thermotogati; Synergistota
Description: bacterial SSU rRNA
Rfam family: Bacterial small subunit ribosomal RNA
Source: RNAcentral